AAGCUGAUGCAGCGACGCCGCGUGAGGGAUGACGGCCUUCGGGUUGUAAACCUCUUUCAGUAGGGAAGAAGCGAAAGUGACGGUACCUGCAGAAGAAGCACCGGCUAACUACGUGCCAGCAGCCGCGGUAAUACGUAGGGUGCGAGCGUUAUCCGGAAUUAUUGGGCGUAAAGAGCUCGUAGGCGGUUUGUCGCGUCUGUCGUGAAAGUCCGGGGCUUAACCCCGGAUCUGCGGUGGGUACGGGCAGACUAGAGUGCAGUAGGGGAGACUGGAAUUCCUGGUGUAGCGGUGGAAUGCGCAGAUAUCAGGAGGAACACCGAUGGCGAAGGCAGGUCUCUGGGCUGUAACUGACGCUGAGGAGCGAAAGCAUGGGGAGCGAACAGGAUUAGAUACCCUGGUAGUCCAUGCCGUAAACGUUGGGCACUAGGUGUGGGGACCAUUCCACGGUUUCCGCGCCGCAGCUAACGCAUUAAGUGCCCCGCCUGGGGAGUACGGCCGCAAGGCUAAAACUCAAAGGAAUUGACGGGGGCCCGCACAAGCGGCGGAGCAUGCGGAUUAAUUCGAUGCAACGCGAAGAACCUUACCAAGGCUUGACAUGUUCUCGAUCGCCGUAGAGAUACGGUUUCCCCUUUGGGGCGGGUUCACAGGUGGUGCAUGGUUGUCGUCAGCUCGUGUCGUGAGAUGUUGGGUUAAGUCCCGCAACGAGCGCAACCCUCGUUCCAUGUUGCCAGCACGUAGUGGUGGGGACUCAUGGGAGACUGCCGGGGUCAACUCGGAGGAAGGUGAGGACGACGUCAAAUCAUCAUGCCCCUUAUGUCUUGGGCUUCACGCAUGCUACAAUGGCCGGUACAAUGGGUUGCGAUACUGUGAGGUGGAGCUAAUCCCAAAAAGCCGGUCUCAGUUCGGAUUGGGGUCUGCAACUCGACCCCAUGAAGUCGGAGUCGCUAGUAAUCGCAGAUCAGCAACG
Molecule: ribosomal RNA, 967 nt
Filed under: Micrococcus sp. WB18-17
Lineage: Bacteria; Bacillati; Actinomycetota; Actinomycetes; Micrococcales; Micrococcaceae
Description: bacterial SSU rRNA
Rfam family: Bacterial small subunit ribosomal RNA
Source: RNAcentral